UACGGAGGGGGCUAGCGUUGUUCGGAAUUGCUGGGCGUAAAGCGCACGUAGGCGGUUUACUAAGCCAGGGGUGAAAUCCCGGGGCUCAACCCCGGAACUGCCCUUGAUACUGGUAGUCUUGAGGUCGAGAGAGGUGAGUGGAACUCCGAGUGUAGAGGUGAAAUUCGUAGAUAUUCGGAAGAACACCAGUGGCGAAGGCGGCUCACUGGCUCGAUACUGACGCUGAGGUGCGAAAGUGUGGGGAGCAAACAGG
RNAcentral lists this unclassified non-coding RNA (253 nucleotides) under uncultured Rhodobacterales bacterium. RNAcentral describes it as "contains 16S-23S intergenic spacer region". It matches the Rfam family "Bacterial small subunit ribosomal RNA", at positions 524 to 776 of the family's 1533-position model. Lineage: Bacteria; Pseudomonadati; Pseudomonadota; Alphaproteobacteria; Rhodobacterales. The record is from RNAcentral.